GGAACAGAUGCCCUUGGGGAGGAAGCUACACAAUAGGGACCCACGUGACAUGGGGGAGGUGGUAUCCUACUUCCUUGAGUCCAGCCCCAGGUCUUUCCGGCAUUGGCUUGACCAGCUGUUGACAGUGAUGGUCCUACUAGUCUGUCUGGUGGUCUGGGCUUUCACUCUGCCAGUAACGGAGAGCCCUGGAAGAGUCCUGGCCCCUUGAAGCUUUCCUUCACUUGAUGACCCCACUGUGAGCCAGAGGGAUUUCUUCUAUAUUUCUUGCUGGGCCAGUGAUUGAUAUCAUAUGGCCUAAGCUCGCCCUGAGCUGACAGGAAUGGUAAAGUAAGUAGCCGUACCAGGCCAGGCCCAGACCGAAGAUGAGCAGUAGAGCUACCAGACCCCGCAGCCGGCGGGGGAGGGCGCCACCCCCAGGGGAGCUGGACCCUGUGGUGGAGAGCACUGAAGAGACAGACACCUGGGAAUCAGCGUUGGGUCAGAGCAAGCCCCCAAGCUGCCCCAGGAAGAAUCACUGGCAGAGCACCUGAUCACCACUGCAGAGCCCAGCAGCCAAAGCAACUGUCUACAGCCGGACACACCCAGGUAGGACUGGGCUGGGGUGGCGAGGGCAGAAAGGUAUGCAAGGGCUACUCACACCUCCUAUCCUAUCUUACUGCUCUGAGUUCCAACUUUACAGUGAGGCAGCUGGGUUAUAGGCUUUCUAAAGUUUCUACCAGCUCUGACUUUGCGUACUCUAUUCCAAGGUUUCUUUCCAGCUUUGCCAUUUCAUGUUCUAAAGGUCCUCCCAGCUCUGACAUUCUUUCUUCUAAGGGCUCCCCCAUAUCCCCCAUAUUGUGUGUUCUAAGGGUCCUCCCAGCUCUGAUAUUCUAUAUUCUAAGGCCCUUCCUAGCUCUUGACUCAGAAAAAAUUUUUACUCUUUUUGAAUGAUUUGUAAUUGUUAAAUUUUUGCUUUUAAAAGAUAUAUUAUUGGUCAUUUCUCUGAUUAUUUAAUUGCAGAAUCUCAGCUGUUGAAGGACCUUUGAAGGUUAACAGGUCCAACUUUUACCCGGUGCUGAGUGAUCCCUUUAAACGCAAGACCCUCAUACAAGACUACACAACUAGUAGUGAUUAAACACACAGACACAGACACAUACACACACACACACACACACACACACACACACAUACACACACUCUGUUCUGGGCCCUGGAAGAGAUACCAGGUUUUGAUAAGAAGUCUCUGCCUUCAUGGAGCCCAUGAUACAGAAAGGGACAACUCAACCAUAGGUAGUUGUAACAGGGAAAGGCAUGGCAACGGGACCUGGGAUUUUAUAUGUGCAGGUAACACUGGCUGAGGAACUUCCUUUACCAACACACAUGGGGCAACUUCUUGGCUAUUUGUCAUCCUGAAGAGUUCCCUGGAGCACUGAGAAGUUCAGUGAUUUUCAUGGAGGCUCAGAGCCAGGAUGUGCAAGAGACAGGGCCGUGACUCAGGUCUCCACAGUCAGCUUACCUUCUGUCUGCUAUACCACCAGGCCUCUAGUGGGCCAAUAAGUAAACACAAGUUGGUAGAGUCUUAGUAUAUGUGUGAAUAAAUAUACAUAUAUGUGUGUGUGUGUGGUGUGU
Molecule: long non-coding RNA, 1608 nt
Filed under: Phascolarctos cinereus (koala)
Lineage: Eukaryota; Metazoa; Chordata; Mammalia; Diprotodontia; Phascolarctidae
Description: lncRNA (ENSPCIG00000036609.1)
Source: RNAcentral